RNAcentral lists this ribosomal RNA (322 nucleotides) under uncultured eukaryote. RNAcentral describes it as "partial 18S ribosomal RNA". It matches the Rfam family "Eukaryotic small subunit ribosomal RNA", at positions 1470 to 1796 of the family's 1831-position model. The record is from RNAcentral.
CCCUUAGAUGUUCUGGGCCGCACGCGUGCUACACUGAGUGGAUCAGCGGGUCAGGUUGCGCGAAAGCGUUUCCUAAUCUUGAAAUCCGCUCGUGAUGGGGAUUGACGGUUGCAAUUUUCCGUCAUGAACGAGGAAUACCUUGUAAGCGCGGGUCAUCAUCCCGCGCUGAAUACGUCCCUGCCCUUUGUACACACCGCCCGUCGCUCCUACCGAUUGAGUGGUCCGGUGAGGCUUUGGGAUCUGAGCGGAAAGAGCGUUUCGCUCGUUCUGCCCGGAAAACUCAGUCGAACCUUAUCAUUUAGAGGAAGGAGAAGUCGUAACA